AUGCCAGAGUUUCCAUUAUCCAGCCGAAGAUAGGGAUCCAAGCAAUCCAGAACCGUUCGUAGUCCCAUCUUUAACUAUGCCGACUAGGGAUGGACUGGCCCACCCCCAUUCCAGUACCUUAUGAGAAAUCAAAGGUUUUGGUCCUGGGGGGAGUAUGUCGCAGACUGAACCUAAGAAUUGACGGAAGGGCAGCCAGCAGGAGUGGACCUGCGCCUAAUUUGACUCACACGGGGACCUUAGCCAGGGUCCAGACCAUAGUAAGGAUUGACAAGAUGAUAGCUCUUUCUGUUCUGUGGUGUGCUCGGUGGGGGGCCGUUCUAGUGGUGGAGUGAUUUGUCUGGUUAAUUCCGAUAACGAACGAGACCCUUAACCUGCUAACUAGAUUCGAUCAUCUUAUGGUCGUUAUCUUCUUAGAGGGACUAUGUAACAUAAAAAACAUAGAAAGUAUGAGGCAAUAACAGGUCAGUGAUGCCCUUAUAUGUCCUGGGCUGCACGCGUGCUACACUGAUGUAUACAACAAGUGCCUAGUCAGACAUGGCAUGGCAAUCUCGAAUAUGCAUCGUGAUGGGGAUAGAUCUUUGCAAUUAUAGAUCUUGAACGAGGAAUUCCUAGUAAGUGCAAGUCAUCAUCUUGCAGGGAGAGAUGUCCCUGCCCUUUGUACACACCGCCCGUCGCUCCUACCGAUACCGGGUGAUCCGGUGAACCUUGGGACCUGCAAGUAAGAUAAGUAAACCAAUCACCAGAGGAAGGAGACUUU
Molecule: ribosomal RNA, 757 nt
Filed under: uncultured rumen protozoa
Lineage: Eukaryota
Description: bacterial SSU rRNA
Rfam family: Eukaryotic small subunit ribosomal RNA
Source: RNAcentral